This 281-nucleotide long non-coding RNA is filed under the name Trifolium pratense (red clover). RNAcentral describes it as "long non-coding RNA (TPRA_LNC014225)". The record is from RNAcentral. Lineage: Eukaryota; Viridiplantae; Streptophyta; Magnoliopsida; Fabales; Fabaceae.
UCUUUCAUUCCUUCAGCGCGCGCCAAUGCCUCUUGGGCCGUUGUUGUUUCUUUUUUGGGCCUGGCCCAACUAUCUUUCGAUUCGAUUUUGUGCUUUCGACAGCCUCUUGACAAAACCAAAACUGAAUGUGCCUUCCAAAGCUUUCGAAACACUCCCUUGCUUCGACAUAGUUAGACCUCGACACCAUCUUUGAAAGUUUUAUUUUGACAAUAUAUCCUUCAAAAUAAAUGUUGGACCCACCAAUUAUAUUUAAUUGAUAAAUACCAAAUUUAUGUCCAACA